AAGGGUAGAGCUCAGGGGUAGAGCGCUUGCUUAGCAUGCACAUGGUCCUGGGUUCAAUCCCCAGUACCUCCA
This 72-nucleotide transfer RNA is filed under the name Camelus bactrianus (Bactrian camel). It matches the Rfam family "tRNA". Rfam says of the family: Transfer RNA (tRNA) molecules are approximately 80 nucleotides in length. The record is from Rfam by way of RNAcentral. RNAcentral also lists the same sequence under 1 other name. Lineage: Eukaryota; Metazoa; Chordata; Mammalia; Artiodactyla; Camelidae.